CCUACGGGUGGCAGCAGUGGGGAAUAUUGGGCAAUGGAGGCAACUCUGACCCAGCAAUGCCGCGUGAGUGAUGAAGGUAAUUGUAUUGUAAAGCUCUUUUCUUUGGAACGAAUAAAUGACGGUACCAAAGGAAUAAGCCCCGGCUAACUACGUGCCAGCAGCCGCGUUAAUGCGUAGGGGGCAAGCGUUAUCCGGAUUUAUGGGGUUCAAAGGGUGCGUAGGGGGAAGGUUAAGUCAGCGGUAAAAUGUCGGUGCUCAAAACCGGCCUGCCGUUGAAACUGGUCUUCUUGAGUGAGCGAGAAGUAUGCGGAAUGCGUGGUGUAGCGGUGAAAUGCAUAGAUAUCACGCAGAACUCCGAUUGCGAAGGCAGCAUACCGGCGCUCAACUGACGCUGAGGCACGAAAGCGUGGGGAUCGAACAGGAUUAGAUACCCUUGUAGUC
Molecule: ribosomal RNA, 441 nt
Filed under: uncultured bacterium
Lineage: Bacteria
Description: partial 16S ribosomal RNA
Rfam family: Bacterial small subunit ribosomal RNA
Source: RNAcentral